This 78-nucleotide microRNA precursor is filed under the name Oreochromis niloticus (Nile tilapia). RNAcentral's name for it is "microRNA oni-mir-10597d precursor". Lineage: Eukaryota; Metazoa; Chordata; Actinopteri; Cichliformes; Cichlidae. The record is from miRBase by way of RNAcentral.
GAUGACUGGAUGUGUAGAGCGCUUUGGGGUCCUUAGGGACUAGUAAAGCGCUAUGCAAAAUACAGGCCAUUUACCAUU